CUUUCAGAUCACAUUCUCUUCCAGACAGUUCUUCAAGGAACCCACGUUAACCACCGCCCCCCCAUCAGCCUUUCAUGUUCUCCUCACUGACAAGACUCUUCCAAUAAACCAUAUAAAAUAAAUAACCUCAAAUAUAAUUCUUAAUUGCUACCAAGUCGAUGUUUCCUCAUCACUAAACUUUAUUGCUUCCCAAUCUUUAAGACAAACUUCCCUCGGGACUCUGUCCCUUUCAGGAGACAGGCCGAGGAAAGCUGCUUCUCCAAGAUUCUACCUGCAUGUCCCAGACCCAGAGGAUGAACAAGGGUGCCAGGUUGUUCAGAGGCUGCAAGACCAGGGGAGGCCUCGGAGGGUUGGAGCUGGAUGCUAGGAGACAAAAUGGGUAAAUCCUCCAAGGCUUAACUUCAGCGAAACCAGUCGCAGAGCGGAUGGAGGAGGCGAGGACGCGGCUAGUUCACACCGUUUCCUUGGCAAGGAAAAUCACUGGCGUUUUAGGCCGCCUCGUAGCGACCUGCAAGCGCCUGCCGAGUGUUGGCGGGCCCCUUGAACCCAAGCCCUGUCUGUCCGCUGAGUCCUGGGAGGAGAAUACCGGCCUCACCAGAAGAAGGAGAACACGGAGAGAGGUCCGAAAACCGUUUGCAAUGCCAUCUAGACAGCCCUCCGCGAAACCAACCCUGAGCGGCGCUGGCAGCCCACCCCUGCACCCGGCUGCAGAGGUGGGGGCUGCAACUCUCCGAGCAACCCAAUAAUUACAAAAGGAAGGUCGAAGGACAAAAGAAAAAAAAAAAGAAAGAAAUUUAAAAUUCAGAAAUUACUUUCUCCCCAGCUUCGGUUGUCCAGCUCCAGUGGGCGGCCCGGGGCCGCGAGCCCCAUCGCUGCGGAAGAGGCUGGACCCGCGUGGCCGCGAGCCCUAUGUGUGUGCGCGUGUGUGUGUGUACGUGGGCGCGCGCGGGAGUGUAGCGACUCCAGGGGCUGCCCUCCGCAGUCUUUUUAAAGUAGCCUCCAAAUGAGCCUAAUUUUGAUUCUGCUGCCCGCCAGGGCUGGCUCUCAGGACUCCCUCGGCGCUGCUGGUCGCUGCCUCGCCCUCCCUCGGCCAAGACCUGGCCUGAUCCGUCCCCAUCCCCGUGUCUCAGUGGAACCCCCCUGGGGGAAGGGGUGCGGAGUGAACAACUCCCAGCCGCCAGUUCCAUUUGUUGCGCUUUUUUCAUUCGACACAAUAAAAGUCAAAUU
Molecule: long non-coding RNA, 1227 nt
Filed under: Vulpes vulpes (red fox)
Lineage: Eukaryota; Metazoa; Chordata; Mammalia; Carnivora; Canidae
Description: lncRNA (ENSVVUG00000016362.1)
Source: RNAcentral